AACUAAUAAACUACAAAAUUCAUUUUCUCAAAAAAUUAAAGAGGCCUUUUCUAUAUUAACUU
This 62-nucleotide transfer RNA is filed under the name Megasoma mars. Its description in RNAcentral is "tRNA-Ser". The record is from RNAcentral. Lineage: Eukaryota; Metazoa; Arthropoda; Insecta; Coleoptera; Scarabaeidae.